GACGAACGCUGGCGGCGUGCUUUACACAUGCAAGUCGAACGGUGAAGGUGGAGCUUGCUCCGCCGGAUCAGUGGCGAACGGGUGAGUAACACGUGGGCAACCUGCCCCUAACUUUGGGAUAACUACUCGAAAGAGUAGCUAAUACCGGAUAUGAAGUCUGUAGGCAUCUGCGGACUUGGAAAGGUUUUCGGUUAGGGAUGGGCCCGCGGCCUAUCAGCUUGUUGGUGAGGUAGUGGCUCACCAAGGCGACGACGGGUAGCCGGCCUGAGAGGGCGACCGGCCACACUGGGACUGAGACACGGCCCAGACUCCUACGGGAGGCAGCAGUGGGGAAUAUUGCGCAAUGGGCGAAAGCCUGACGCAGCAACGCCGCGUGCGGGAUGAAGGCCUUCGGGUUGUAAACCGCUUUCAGCAGGGAAGAAGCGAAAGUGACGGUACCUGCAGAAGAAGCACCGGCUAACUACGUGCCAGCCGCCGCAGUAA
Molecule: ribosomal RNA, 483 nt
Filed under: uncultured bacterium
Lineage: Bacteria
Description: partial 16S ribosomal RNA
Rfam family: Bacterial small subunit ribosomal RNA
Source: RNAcentral